RNAcentral lists this ribosomal RNA (372 nucleotides) under uncultured organism. RNAcentral describes it as "bacterial SSU rRNA". It matches the Rfam family "Bacterial small subunit ribosomal RNA", at positions 526 to 896 of the family's 1533-position model. The record is from RNAcentral.
CGAAGGGGGCGAGCGUUGUUCGGAUUUACUGGGCGUAAAGGGCGCGCAGGCGGCCAUCAUUUGUCGAGUGUGAAAGCCCCGGGCUUAACCUGGGAACUGCGCUCGAAACGGGAUGGCUAGAGAUCGGGAGAGGAGCGUGGAAUUCCCAGUGUAGAGGUGAAAUUCGUAGAUAUUGGGAAGAACACCGGUGGCGAAGGCGGCGCUCUGGACCGAGACUGACGCUGAGGCGCGAAAGCGUGGGGAGCAAACAGGAUUAGAUACCCUGGUAGUCCACGCUGUAAACGAUGUGUGCUAGACGUUGGGGAGCCUAGCUCUUCGGUGUCGCAGCUAACGCGGUAAGCACACCGCCUGGGGAGUACGGCCGCAAGGUUA